GACGUAGGGCGCGAGCGUUGUCCGGAUUUAUUGGGCGUAAAGAGCUCGUAGGCGGCUCGUCGCGUCGACCGUGAAAACUUGGGGCUCAACCCCAAGCCUGCGGUCGAUACGGGCAGGCUCGAGUUCGGUAGGGGAGACUGGAAUUCCUGGUGUAGCGGUGAAAUGCGCAGAUAUCAGGAGGAACACCGGUGGCGAAGGCGGGUCUCUGGGCAGUAACUGACGCUGAGGAGCGAAAGCGUGGGGAGCGAACAGG
This 253-nucleotide ribosomal RNA is filed under the name uncultured bacterium. RNAcentral describes it as "partial 16S ribosomal RNA". It matches the Rfam family "Bacterial small subunit ribosomal RNA", at positions 524 to 776 of the family's 1533-position model. The record is from RNAcentral.